This 254-nucleotide ribosomal RNA is filed under the name uncultured bacterium. Its description in RNAcentral is "partial 16S ribosomal RNA". It matches the Rfam family "Bacterial small subunit ribosomal RNA", at positions 524 to 776 of the family's 1533-position model. The record is from RNAcentral.
AACGUAGGUGGCAAGCGUUACCCGGAAUUACUGGGCGUAAAGGGUGUGCAGGCGGGGCUGCAAGUGGUGUAUGAAAAUCUCCCAGCUUAACUGGGAUAGGUUAUGCCAGACUGCAGUUCUAGAGGACGAGAGAGGGGGGUGGAAUUCCGGGUGUAGUGGUGAAAUGCGUAGAGAUCCGGAGGAACCCCAGAGGCGAAGGCGGCCCCCUGGCUCGUACCUGACGCUCAGCCACGAAAGCAUGGGGAGCGAACGGG